RNAcentral lists this ribosomal RNA (851 nucleotides) under uncultured beta proteobacterium. RNAcentral describes it as "bacterial SSU rRNA". It matches the Rfam family "Bacterial small subunit ribosomal RNA", at positions 58 to 906 of the family's 1533-position model. The record is from RNAcentral. Lineage: Bacteria; Pseudomonadati; Pseudomonadota; Betaproteobacteria.
CAAGUCGAGCGGCAGCGCGGGGGCAACCCUGGCGGCGAGCGGCGAACGGGUGAGUAAUACAUCGGAACGUGUCCUGUAGCGGGGGAUAACCUCUCGAAAGAGAGGCUAAUACCGCAUACGACCUACGGGUGAAAGCGGGGGACCGCAAGGCCUCGCACUAUAGGAGCGGCCGAUGUCGGAUUAGCUAGUUGGCGGGGUAAAAGCCCACCAAGGCGACGAUCCGUAGCUGGUCUGAGAGGACGAUCAGCCACACUGGAACUGAGACACGGUCCAGACUCCUACGGGAGGCAGCAGUGGGGAAUUUUGGACAAUGGGGGCAACCCUGAUCCAGCCAUGCCGCGUGAGUGAAGAAGGCCUUCGGGUUGUAAAGCUCUUUCGGCGGGGACGAAACGGUUCAUGCCAACACCAUGAACUAAUGACAGUACUCGCAGAAGAAGCACCGGCUAACUACGUGCCAGCAGCCGCGGUAAUACGUAGGGUGCAGGCGUUAAUCGGAAUUACUGGGCGUAAAGCGUGCGCAGGCGGCUCCUUAAGUCAGAUGUGAAAUCCCCGGGCUUAACCUGGGAACUGCGUUUGAAACUGAGGAGCUCGAGUGUGGAAGAGGGGGGUGGAAUUCCAGGUGUAGCAGUGAAAUGCGUAGAGAUCUGGAGGAACACCGAUGGCGAAGGCAGCCCCCUGGGCUAACACUGACGCUCAUGCACGAAAGCGUGGGGAGCAAACAGGAUUAGAUACCCUGGUAGUCCACGCCCUAAACGAUGUCAACUGGUUGUCGGGGAAGCAAUUCCUUGGUAACGAAGCUAACGCGUGAAGUUGACCGCCUGGGGAGUACGGCCGCAAGGUUAAACUCAAAG